UGUAAGUACAGUUAUGAGUUUUCGUGUCCAACUUAGUUGAUUAUCAGUCUUAUUUGAAAUUUUUUUAUAAUUAGUAUUUUUAUUGAUAUGGGAUGACAAAACAUGAGUAGUACUUUAUGCGUGACUUAUGUUUUUAAAGUUUUCAAAAAAAAUUUAAAUAUGACGGACGAUCAAAGUUGGGCACGAAAAAUCAUAACUACGCUUAAA
Oryza sativa Japonica Group (Japanese rice) is the source of this 207-nucleotide microRNA precursor. It matches the Rfam family "MIR812 microRNA precursor family". NCBI's taxonomy places the organism in Eukaryota, Viridiplantae, Streptophyta, Magnoliopsida, Poales, Poaceae. The record is from Rfam.